RNAcentral lists this ribosomal RNA (446 nucleotides) under uncultured bacterium. RNAcentral's name for it is "bacterial SSU rRNA". It matches the Rfam family "Bacterial small subunit ribosomal RNA", at positions 29 to 518 of the family's 1533-position model. The record is from RNAcentral.
AGCGAACGCUGGCGGCAGGCUUAACACAUGCAAGUCGAGCGGGCGUAGCAAUACGUCAGCGGCAGACGGGUGAGUAACGCGUGGGAACGUACCUUUUGGUUCGGAACAACACAGGGAAACUUGUGCUAAUACCGGAUAAGCCCUUACGGGGAAAGAUUUAUCGCCGAAAGAUCGGCCCGCGUCUGAUUAGCUAGUUGGUGAGGUAACGGCUCACCAAGGCGACGAUCAGUAGCUGGUCUGAGAGGAUGAUCAGCCACAUUGGGACUGAGACACGGCCCAAACUCCUACGGGAGGCAGCAGUGGGGAAUAUUGGACAAUGGGCGCAAGCCUGAUCCAGCCAUGCCGCGUGAGUGAUGAAGGCCCUAGGGUUGUAAGCUCUUUGUGCGGGAAGAUAAUGACGGUACCGCAAGAAUAACGCCCCCGGCUAACUUCGUGCCAGCAGCCGC